RNAcentral lists this ribosomal RNA (292 nucleotides) under uncultured bacterium. RNAcentral's name for it is "partial 16S ribosomal RNA". It matches the Rfam family "Bacterial small subunit ribosomal RNA", at positions 505 to 796 of the family's 1533-position model. The record is from RNAcentral.
GUGCCAGCCGCCGCGGUAAUACGGAGGGUGCAAGCGUUGUUCGGAAUUAUUGGGCGUAAAGCGCGUGUAGGCGGUUUUUUAAGUCUGAUGUGAAAGCCCUGGGCUCAACCUGGGAAGUGCAUUGGAUACUGGAAGACUUGAGUACGGGAGAGGGUAGUGGAAUUCCGAGUGUAGGAGUGAAAUCCGUAGAUAUUCGGAGGAACACCGGUGGCGAAGGCGGCUACCUGGACCGAUACUGACGCUGAGACGCGAAAGCGUGGGGAGCAAACAGGAUUAGAUACCCCCGUAGUCC